This 5126-nucleotide long non-coding RNA is filed under the name Brachypodium distachyon (stiff brome). Its description in RNAcentral is "long non-coding RNA (BDIS_LNC002895)". Lineage: Eukaryota; Viridiplantae; Streptophyta; Magnoliopsida; Poales; Poaceae. The record is from RNAcentral.
CAUUCUGCUUGCUGCCUGGCUACCCUGUGAUGUUUGCUCCUUGUAAUCAAGCUGCAUUUCCUUUGGGAUGAAAGGAACGUCGAUUGUAUUUGCCCCCUCAUCGUGCUUUAACGAGGUGCCCACGGCGAGAUCUUGCUUCACACCCGCAAUCGCCAAACCACGCCCACCGUCCAAAAGCGUGGGCCGUGAAGCCCUUCUCGAUCAGGGUUCUCUUCUCCCCGCCUCGCCGCGAAACGGCCUCGAGCUCCCCCGCCUGGCCGCCCCCUCCGCUGGCCGCCGCUCGCUCCCCUCCAAUGUCUCCGCAUCAGGUAGGCCAUCCUCUACCGAUCUGCUCCCCUUUCCUUCUUCGUCUACUAGCGCAGCGCAUUCAUUCCUCGCCCUUAGCACGCGCACGCACCUCUGACGUGUUAGCCCUGGUUUCUGGCGCGGCACCGUAAGGAGCCAUUGGAGACUUGGAGUGGCCUGCCGCGGCAAUCGUAAGGAACCGAGCACAUGGAACCACUGAUGCCGAGAACCAAGUGGCUUUCGUCUUCGGUCCCAAAUUUUGCCAUAGCUAGGCAACUAGAUUAGCUGGGGCUACAUUCAUUUGGUGCUGUUCCUAGUUGAUCCAAUCAGCUAUGACGGCGCUCCCGCUUGUUAGUGAUUGUGCCUGCUUAGUAAUAAUGAUGCAUACACGUCUAUUAUCUCUGGCAUACUUGUUCCUCGUAAUCUGAUUUCGUUAAUAAUCUGUAAUAGCGCCUUAUUCGCGUCCAUGAGGCUGGCACACAAGACAUAGCAAAGCGUCGACGGUCAGUGAGGCAGUUGUGCACUUGCAAUGGUACUGUAUUUUUUGUCUACAUCACUCCUAGCAUCUAAUUUCAUAUCCAAUAACAACGCGUCGAAUGAAGCAGAUAUGUGACCCGUUCAAUUUUUUGUUUUUGUUUUUCUGAUAAUGGUUAGCAGUUUAUCAUGUGGUUGAUUAUGGUAAGAACGAAACAAAAUUCUCUUAGCACCUCUUGUGUGGCGACCUGGUGACAAAGAACAGAGGCGAAACAUAGUUGAGAACCUGAGGCUGCUAUUUUACAAUUACAACUUGCAUUUUGGUAUGUUACACACAUGCAUUGCCUUAAGUUUCCAAUAUGCGCUCCUCUCACCUACAUGCUAAUAACCUCUUCUGGUUCGCCGAAAGCCCGAGACUAUGUUUGGCAUCUUAUCAUCAUCAUCAUCACCUGCUGCAAUCCAUGUUCAUCUCAUCGGAUCCCAGGAUCUGAGCAGAGCAAAGAUAGCAGAGGCUUUUCCAGGCCCAGAAGGCAAUUCGAUCUCCCAUCUCUCUGUACAUGCUUGCAUCGUUUAAUCACAACCAGGGAAUAUUUUCUUAUGGUAUCGAUACAUCAUCAUCAUUGUUGAAACUGUAUGGUGCGCAGCUCGAGUAGGUUGUGCUCGUGCUGCUGACAUGGGAAGCUUCAUACUCUUGCCCAAGAUUCCGCAGCCUAUUCAACUCAGGCAUUAUUUCUUUCCCGAGAUCUGGCCUGUCCUUCUUUCGUAGCUCAGCACAUUUCAAAGCCAACUGCGCGAAUGCCAGAGCCUCUUCCACUGGCCAGUCCGUUACCGUCUGGUCAAGUACCUCUUGGAAGGCUCCUCUCUCUAUGGCAUCCUCGACUUGGUGCGUGAGGCCCAUGGGGGACCUGGCCGUGAUGAUCUGGAGCAGUAGGAUACCGAAAGAGUAUAUGUCAGACUUUGUGGUGAGCAUGCCUGUCUGCUGGUACUCAGGGUCAAUAUAGCAGAAUGUGCCGGCUGUGGAUGUCAUCCUGUAUUGUGUGACUUCAGCUAUGGACUGUGGCACCAGCCUCGCAAGGCCGACAUCACUGAUCUUGCUGACGAAAUUGUGGUCGAGGAGGAUGUUGCCAGGCUUGAGGUCUCUGUGGACAAGUGGUUCGGGCUUCGCCUGGUGAAGGAAGAGAAGGCCAGUAGCGAUGUCGGCAGCGAUCCUGAACCGGAUGUUCCAUGGGAUUGGUUUGGUGUUGCCUCGUCGGCAUAGCCGGUCCUCUAGGCUUCCGUAGUCCAUGUACUCGUACACUAGGCAGCCAUACUCUGGGCAAGCUCCGAGCAACAGGACCAUGUUUGGAUGCCGCAUGCUGCUUAGUAUUUCGAUCUGCAAAUUAUUGAUUAGCAUACAAUUUAGGUUCAUCAUGGCUUCAUCUGCAUAACUAAAAUGCACCUAAAGACUGAAUUUCUUAACGAGGACCAGCAGGAAGAUAAGGUGUCCUCCGUAACAAAGAAAAGAAAACCUGUUUUUCCUUUUUUUUUAUGGUGAACAACAUAUGGUGUUUUAUAUUGUUGUAGUAUAUCUAGGUACUCAAAGCAGCUCUGAAUAGACUGACAAACAAACAACUUACCAGCUAUAACUGCAUAAAUAUAUGAAGGAUAGCACAAAACUUUUGGCUGCUGCAAUGUUGUAUCAGAUUCAGAUUUACCUCUUGCUGAAAUUGUUGCCUCCCCUGUGAUGCGUCUGGUCUUAGGAUCUUAAUAGCAACAUUGGUAUGAUCCAGAACGGCUUUAUACACUGGUCCAUAUCCACCUUCGCCUAUCUUCAGUGCCCUGUCAAACUUAUGAGUGGCAGCUUCUAUAUCAUCAAUGGAGUACCUCCUGUACCGGAGAUCCGUGUCUGUUGCUCUCCUUCUCUCGUCCGUUUCACGCUUUGCCUUCCAUUCUGCUCUCAAUCUCUUCUGCGCCUCGAGCUCUGCAAUUUUUUGUGCAGCUUCUGCUGCCUCCAGCGCGGCUCUGCACUUUGCCUUCUCCAUUUCAACAAGUGCAAGAGCUUCUUCUUCUGAAUUCCUUAGUUCUUCGUACUUUUUGGACUCUUCUACCUUCAUUUGCGACAGCUGAGCCGCCUGCAGAUAGGUUACUAUUCAUUUUAUUAAGAGCUUUUGGUGGGUUUGGGAACUACUCGAUGUUUAUUGUUAAGUGUAGCUAUGCAGGAGUAAACACACCUUCUGUUUAGCGUCAACUGCUUCUUUACAUGCGGAGUUGUACAUUUCCAUUGUCUGUUUGAGCUCUAGUCUCAGUCGUCUCAUCUCAGCUUCUACGUCCUUCUGUAUUCAAGUGAAACAAAAUAUAAAUUCAUGAUUAGUACUUCAGAAGUUCAAAUCAGUGUCCAGGUGCAAAGUUUUAAUCAACUUUAGCAACUUCACGUGUACAAUGCUCGUACCCCGGCUGAACUUAGGCUUUCAAUGGAUACAUAUGAUGAUAGUUCCAGAGAUUCACCAUAGUCCAUGGAAUUUAACUCCAUGCUCAUGGGAAAAUCAAUGUCAUCUGAAAAGGAGCUGCGAGUCACGGAGGGCCUUGGUGGUGCGAUGAAGUCGAUGUAGUCAUCGAAGUCUCUCUGGGGUGCUUGCCUUCCCGAGAGGAGAUGCCUAUCUUUCGUUGGGGCCUUUGAAUAGGCUGAUAGUCGUUCGACCGAUGGUCUAUUUCGCUCCACCGAUGGUCUAUUUCGGUCCACUGAUGAUCUAUUGGACUUUGGUGACGAUGGCUGAGAAAACUUCCUCCAAUCUCUUGACGAUCUGUUGUACAAACCAGAAUGUUUCUUAUAGUUACGUUUUUUUUGCGCAAUUUCUUAUAGUUACGCUAACAAGGUUUUUUUUUUAAACAUGCAUGUUAACAAGUUCUGAAGGUAACUAGAGUGAUGUGAACGAGAAAAGAUGUGCUAUUUUCCAAAUGCAAGUAUGUGAGUGUUUAGAUUGUGUAAACCAUUUAGCUUCAGAAACAUGCAAUGUGCUUAUUGACUAUCCGAGUGCUACUUUUUCUUCUUCAUGAACUCACCUUGCAAAUGGGUCAGAUUCUAUGUUUGGUUGCGAGUUUUGCUUCGGAGGGAGAGUAGUAAAGGGUGCCGGACCUUUGGCUGCCUUCACUUGGAUGGCCUUCCCUUUGUGUAUUACAUGUACUGUGCAAUAAUCAGGCGCCAUCUUCAUCAAGCAUGUUGGCACGUCAGGAUUUCUAAAUCUUCUGCACGGCAUAAAUUAAGUCCACGCUUGUGUUCAUUACAGGUAUCAGAGGAAUGUAAUGUUGCACAACCAUGGAGUAUGGAUGAGUAUGUACCUGAUGAAUGUGUUUCUAGUUGAUGCCCCGACAACUAUAUCUGUGAUGGUAUGACUAGUGGCAUAGUCAACAAUUGCUUUGGAGAUAUCAUUGUUGUCCAAGAUCACCUCAUUCAGAUGCAUCUGCGAUAUGCAUAUGGCAGUGUAUGCUUACUUGUGUAUAUUUGCUUCCUGUUGUUAACAAAGGUUUAAGAUUGCUAACUGCACUUGUGGUGUGGUUAUUUGCUUCUUGUUGUUGUCAUUAUUAUCCUCCUGCUUUAGCACUGACUUAUUUGAUUCCAGAAGUCCUUGGGUAUUUAUUAGCUAAUUAUCUAUAGUUCAGUCUACGACCGCAAAAAGAAAAAAAGAAAUCUGUAGUUCAGUCUAGUGCUUUCUUACCCCUUUACGAGCACAGUAGCCUCUGUAUGAGAUAAACAAUUGCGACAUUUCUGCAUCCGCAUCAACUCCACGGCCUGCUUCAGCUGUUAUAUGGCCACGCACAAAGUAAAACAGAAUAAGUGAUGACAAUUUUUUUUUCCAUGUCAAAUAGUACAAUAAAAUGUUUAUUAGCCACCUCAUGGAAUCAAUAGUUAGGGAGACUAGUGAAUAUGGUUUUUUUUGUAUUGUAUCUAUGCAGUCAGCUGUAUUCAUUUUGGAACAAUGCAGCAUGUGUCAUUCCACAACGCAAUGAGCAGUUUCUUGUGUCUAGUUCACUUUCCUACAUUUUUUUUAAAACGCAAAUGUGUGGCUUUAAAUUCUCACCACAUGAUGACAUUAUGCACAUCAUAUUGUUACAAAAUUGCGGCAAUCACCCAAGUUCUCAACCUACCAAUUUUCCAAAAAUAGGUCUGCUGUGAUGAUGAAUAGCUUACCACCAUAAGGGUGGAAACUGAAUGCCCUUGUGAUCUUAACUUUCCUCCUAAUUCUUAUGGUGUUGAAAUGUAGAAAAAAGUCUCUUCUAAUUUUCAGUUCCAUCUUGCUUCACGCAGAUACUUUUUUGCAUAAAAGAGACCAAAAAAUGUACCAACCGUUCUGACUACUUUGAUUGGUCCUGACAUGGACCAACUGGAGGGU